AAUCAACGCUGGCGGCGUGCCUCAGACAUGCAAGUCGAACGCGAAAGUCCCCUUCGGGGGACAAGUAGAGUGGCGCACGGGUGAGUAACACGUAGGUAAUCUACCUUCGGAUGGGGAAUAACAACCGGAAACGGUUGCUAAUACCGCAUAAUGCAGCGGCACCUAAUGGUGACAGUUGUUAAAGCGGGGGAUUGAAAGACCUCGCGUCUGAAGAGGAGCCUGCGGCGGAUUAGCUUGNGGUAGGGUAACGGCCUACCAAGGCGACGAUCCGUAGCCGGCCUGAGAGGGCGGGUCGGCCACACUGACACUGACAUACGGGUCAGACUCCUACGGGAGGCAGCAGUCGGGAAUUUUGGGCAAUGGGCGAAAGCCUGACCCAGCAACGCCGCGUGAAGGAUGAAAUCCCUCGGGAUGUAAACUUCGCAAGAACGGGAAGAAUAAGUAGGGGACAACACCCCCUA
This 461-nucleotide ribosomal RNA is filed under the name uncultured bacterium. Its description in RNAcentral is "bacterial SSU rRNA". It matches the Rfam family "Bacterial small subunit ribosomal RNA", at positions 32 to 469 of the family's 1533-position model. The record is from RNAcentral.